AGAGUUUGAUCCUGGCUCAGAAUGAACGCUGGCGGCGUGCCUAACACAUGCAAGUCGGAUGUGCCUUUCGGGGUGCAUGGCAGACGGGUGAGUAACGCGUAGGGAAUCUACCUUUUCGUGGGGAAUAACGUUCCGAAAGGAAUGGUAAUACCGCAUAAGACCAAUGGCUGGGAUGCUGUUGGUGAAAGCCGGGGACCUUCGGGCCUGGCGCGAGAAGAGGAUCCUGCGUCUGAUUAGCUAGUUGGCGGGGUAACGGCCUACCAAGGCGACGAUCAGUAGCCGGCCUGAGUGGGUGAUCGGCCACACUGGAACUGAGACACGGUCCAGACUCCUACGGGAGGCAGCAGUGGGGAAUUUUGCGCAAUGGACGAAAGUCUGACGCAGCAACGCCGCGUGGGUGACGAAGGUCUUCGGAUCGUAAAACCCUGUCGUCAGGGACGAAGGUAGGGAGUUUAAUACGCUCUUUGCUUGACGGUACCUGGAGAGGAAGCCCCGGCUAACUCUGUGCCAGCAGCCGCGGUAAUACAGAGGGGGCAAGCGUUAUUCGGAAUUAUUGGGCGUAAAGGGCGCGUAGGCGGUUCUGUAAGUAGGAUGUGCAAUCCCCGAGCUCAACUUGGGAACUGCAUCCUAGACUGCAAGACUAGAGUGCUGGAGAGGGUGGUAGAAUUCCACGUGUAGCGGUGAAAUGCGUAGAGAUGUGGAGGAAUACCAGUGGCGAAGGCGGCCACCUGGACAGUAACUGACGCUGAGGCGCGAAAGUGUGGGUAGCAAACAGGAUUAGAUACCCUGGUAGUCCACGCUGUAAACGAUGAACACUUGGUGUGGCGGGAGUUGACCCCUGCCGUGCCGGAGCUAACGCGUUAAGUGUUCCGCCUGGGGAGUACGGUCGCAAGGCUGAAACUCAAAGGAAUUGACGG
This 917-nucleotide ribosomal RNA is filed under the name uncultured Terriglobales bacterium. RNAcentral describes it as "bacterial SSU rRNA". It matches the Rfam family "Bacterial small subunit ribosomal RNA", at positions 8 to 916 of the family's 1533-position model. The record is from RNAcentral. Lineage: Bacteria; Pseudomonadati; Acidobacteriota; Terriglobia; Terriglobales.